Molecule: ribosomal RNA, 228 nt
Filed under: uncultured bacterium
Lineage: Bacteria
Description: partial 16S ribosomal RNA
Rfam family: Bacterial small subunit ribosomal RNA
Source: RNAcentral
UGAGCAACCUGCCCUUGACUCUGGAAUAACAGCUGGAAACAGCUGCUAAUACCGGAUACGACCUCCGAUGGCAUCAUCUGGAGGUGGAAAGCUCCGACGGUCAAGGAUGGGCUCGCGGCCUAUCAGCUUGUUGGUGAGGUAACGGCUCACCAAGGCUUCGACGGGUAGCCGGCCUGAGAGGGCAACCGGCCACACUGGGACUAAGAUACGGCCCAGACUCCGUAGGGA